AUGGAAAGGAAGGCACAGCCUCUCUUGAACGUGGGAAUACCAAGAAGACCCUGCCUGCAUCCUGCUGUAACACCUGAAAAUAGCACCUUGCUUCACUGUACAUCGUUAAGCUUAAGGUUAUAAUGCAACAAGGUCCUCCUGGACACCUCCAGUGAUCAAGUAAGUGGCCAGCCAGCUCAGGCUGGCAUCCUACAACAAGUCGGAGCAACAGUACCCAGAGAAGUCAGCAGACCCCAGUGCAACGCUGCAGCUCUAACAUUGAUUACAUAUCAGAUGCUGCCAAAUUCACACUGUAAACUGGGAAACUGAAGGGAAAUAAAGUCUUUAAUUGUGCCCAGCUACUGUUAUCCGAGUGCUCCUUCUUGCUAUACUCCUCACAGCAUUUUCAGACAUUAGCAGCCUUCUGCUCAAUGCAUUCUGGGCUGCAAGGCUUACGGUGACAUUUCUGAGGCCCUUUACUAUGAACAGGCCAGUAGCUCUCUUUUGUUAGGAAGAACUGACUGCAUUCUCCCCUGUAAUCUCUGUAGAAAAUUAUUUUUAUGCUUUGUAUGCAAAAUAAUAAUGAAAUGGCAAACUUUAUAAAGAUUCCUUGGUACUAACUACAAAUUAAUCAGCACUUAAAGAACCAUCAGAAGCUUUCUUCACAGUGCAACAGAAAGAUUGGCUUACCUUUUUCCCAUAGCUACAAACUGAACCCAUACAAAACAACGUACUGUCUAAUUUCUGUUCUUUAUGCACUGUUCCUUAUUGAUGCCACAGUACACACAACUGGAGUGUGUUGCUUCAACCACCCACCAGCCUCACGUCCUCUGAGAGCUUCCACUUUUGCGUAGAAAUGCCCGACUUGACUAAAGCAAGCAAUUUAGCUUCUUCAAACUGCCAUUUUCCUGUUUUCUACGCUUGUUCAGAGAAUUUCCUAUUUCCCUAAGCCUCCAAAAGGAGCAGUGAGGAGCCAUGCAGCAAUACCAUCUGCUGCUGCCAUGCCAGCAAGAACUGCAGGUAGAUGACUCUAUGUGAAGAGAUCUCGAUCGUAGCAGUUUCUGUAUAGUCUCUCAGAGU
This 1059-nucleotide long non-coding RNA is filed under the name Pavo cristatus (Indian peafowl). Its description in RNAcentral is "lncRNA (ENSPSTG00000002991.1)". Lineage: Eukaryota; Metazoa; Chordata; Aves; Galliformes; Phasianidae. The record is from RNAcentral.